AUAUCAAACAUGUAAAUCGAAGAAUUCAUUAUAUACCCCAUUUUCAAUUGAAAAUUUCAAGCCAAAUAACGGACUUAUCUUGUCACGUGACACACCCCCAAAGUUAAAAUACUUAAAUAAAGGUUUAUUUUUGCUGAACUUGAUAAUACAAACCAAUUGAUUAAUGAUUUUCGGAAAGAAUAAUGAAUUGUUUGAGGUUUAUUGAAAAUCUAGGAAAAACCAGGCCUUAACAUGCCAGGGUAUGUGUUUAGACGCCGUCGUAUUGUGUUUAGACGUCGUCGUAUUGUGUUUAGACGUCGUCGCAUUGUGUUUAGACGUCGUCGUUAUGUGUUUAGACGCCGUCGUAUUGUGUUUAGACGUCGUCGCCGCUACAUCAGACCACGCUGUUACUGGACAAGAUGCCGACGUUGUCGAUAUGUAUGCAGAUAUGGAUGUCGUCGCCCGCGUUGCCGGGUCAUAUGUCGUUUUGUUAGAUGCAGACGUUGCUUUCGCGGAUAAAGAUCAGGACUGAUUUCAKGGAAAGAUGGAACGAAAAAAAAACACACACACAUCGAGACAUGACAACAUAAAAUAGGGCUUUUAAAAAAACUAUAAUGCUUGAGAUAAAACCACCCAAGAAUAAAUACCAGUACAUUAUUGCAUCUUCGUAGAUUGUUUGUCUUUAGCAAACUUUACGAAAAAAUAACGAUUUGGACACAGGGGCUAAAAACAAAUUUAGGGAAAAGGAUUUCCUUAUUUUAGUAGUUUGUAAAUCAUUGAUUUUUUUAAGGCAAGAAUGGCACUGUUGUAAUUAAUAAGUUGUAGCACAUUUCAGAAAUAAAGCAUUUGAAAAUCAAAGGACAUAUUUAUGUAUGGUUUGACCCACAGACAGUUUACAAUGCAAUAUCGACCCGGGGAUACUCCCCUAUAUUAUUCAUUAUUAUAUGUGGGCUCCGCCUAAUAGUGUAUGUAAUAGAUGACACUCAAGAGGGUGUCAAUGUUCAUCUAGUUGACUAAAAGUCAAAAUGAAAUAAACAAUGACAUAUUGACAUCAUUAAAGGGAACACUUUUUGUUUUAUGUCUUGGAAAGGAUCUAAAUUUUAACGAUUUUUCUUUAAUGAUGAGUAGGGUCAGGGUUUUGAAGGACCAGCGGAACGUCCCAGUCCAAAUCUGGAUGAAGUUCGAGUAUCAAGAAAAUAUCGACUCAUCACAGCUGGACCAAUUUGUGAUAACGUUGACUGAGUUUAUCACAUAGUCAUGUUACGAACGCUUUUUUGAAUAGUUAGCCACUUGAUAACGCUCCUUCGAGUAAAUGGCAGCAAUAUUGAGCUUUUGUCUACAGGUGAAAAAGCAGAAGUCGAAUGCAAACCGAAGCAUUCACAGAUCGCCAUGUAAAAUAAAAUUUUUACCAAUUCUAUUAAGUAUAUUUUUAUGAAUAUUUUUUCGUCAGCACCUUCCGCAGGUAAAUAAAAGCUUUGCGUUUUUCAGAGCAGAAGUGUUUAUAUAAAAUUUUAAGACAUUGCAAAGCCAAUAGUGAACUAAAUACUCCAGCUGUGUCAUUAUUAUUAAAAUAUGGUAAAACCCGAA
This is a long non-coding RNA of Exaiptasia diaphana, 1566 nucleotides long. RefSeq lists it as uncharacterized. The record is from RefSeq and is a predicted model, not a curated record. NCBI's taxonomy places the organism in Eukaryota, Metazoa, Cnidaria, Anthozoa, Actiniaria, Aiptasiidae. The transcript has 2 exons.